UACGAAGGGUGCAAGCGUUGCUCGGAAUUAUUGGGCGUAAAGGGUAGGUAGGUGGUCUCAUUUGUCUGGGGUGAAAGCCUUGAGCUUAACUCAAGAAGUGCCUCAGAAACGGUGAGACUAGAGUCCUGGAGAGGGUCGUGGAAUUCCCGGUGUAGCGGUGAAAUGCGUAGAGAUCGGGAGGAACACCAGCGGCGAAGGCGGCGACCUGGACAGGCACUGACACUCAACUACGAAAGCGUGGGGAGCAAACAGG
This 253-nucleotide ribosomal RNA is filed under the name uncultured bacterium. Its description in RNAcentral is "partial 16S ribosomal RNA". It matches the Rfam family "Bacterial small subunit ribosomal RNA", at positions 524 to 776 of the family's 1533-position model. The record is from RNAcentral.